This 253-nucleotide ribosomal RNA is filed under the name uncultured bacterium. RNAcentral's name for it is "partial 16S ribosomal RNA". It matches the Rfam family "Bacterial small subunit ribosomal RNA", at positions 524 to 776 of the family's 1533-position model. The record is from RNAcentral.
UACGGGGGGGGCAAGCGUUGUUCGGAAUUACUGGGCGUAAAGGGCUCGUAGGCGGCCAACUAAGUCAUACGUGAAAUCCCUCGGCUUAACCGGGGAACUGCGUCUGAUACUGGAUGGCUUGAGUUCGGGAGAGGGAUGCGGAAUUCCAGGUGUAGCGGUGAAAUGCGUAGAUAUCUGGAGGAACACCAAAGGCGAAGGCAGUGUCCUGGGGAGCAUCUGACGCUCAGGUGCGAAAGCUAGGGGAGCGAACGGG